GUCCAGAUAGCUCAGUCAGUUGAGCAUCAGACUUUCAAUCUGAGGGUCCUGGGUUCAAGUCCCUGUUUGGGUG
Molecule: transfer RNA, 73 nt
Filed under: Ameiurus melas (black bullhead)
Lineage: Eukaryota; Metazoa; Chordata; Actinopteri; Siluriformes; Ictaluridae
Rfam family: tRNA
About the family: Transfer RNA (tRNA) molecules are approximately 80 nucleotides in length. Their secondary structure includes four short double-helical elements and three loops (D, anti-codon, and T loops). Further hydrogen bonds mediate the characteristic L-shaped molecular structure. tRNAs have two regions of fundamental functional importance: the anti-codon, which is responsible for specific mRNA codon recognition, and the 3' end, to which the tRNAs corresponding amino acid is attached (by aminoacyl-tRNA synthetases). tRNAs cope with the degeneracy of the genetic code in two manners: having more than one tRNA (with a specific anti-codon) for a particular amino acid; and 'wobble' base-pairing, i.e. permitting non-standard base-pairing at the 3rd anti-codon position.
Source: Rfam by way of RNAcentral